RNAcentral lists this ribosomal RNA (389 nucleotides) under uncultured bacterium. RNAcentral's name for it is "bacterial SSU rRNA". It matches the Rfam family "Bacterial small subunit ribosomal RNA", at positions 29 to 409 of the family's 1533-position model. The record is from RNAcentral.
AAUGAACGCUGGCGGCGCGCCUAAUACAUGCAAGUCGAGCGAGAAGACGUAGCAAUACGUUUGUAAAGCGGCGAACGGGUGAGGAAUACAUGGGUAACCUACCCUCGAGUGGGGAAUAACUAGCCGAAGGUUAGCUAAUACCGCGUACGCUUCUUGGACUUCGGUUCAGGGAGGAAAGCGAUACCGUGGGUAUCGCGCUCUUGGAUGGGCUCAUGUCCUAUCAGCUUGUUGGUGAGGUAACGGCUCACCAAGGCUUCGACGGGUAGCUGGUCUGAGAGGACGAUCAGCCACACUGGCACUGCGACACGGGCCAGACUCCUACGGGAGGCAGCAGUAAGGAAUAUUGCGCAAUGGGCGAAAGCCUGACGCAGCGACGCCGCGUGGGGGAU